CUAAAAUCUCCAGGGACGGACAGUUUCACCAUGCAUUUUUACCAGCGAAACUGGGAUGUUCUGAAGGAAGAGGUGGUUGGGGCUGUUAAGCAAUUCUUUGCGGAUGGUGUCAUGCCGAGUGAGUUGAAUACUACUAUUAUUGUUCUCAUUCCCAAGACUAACCAAGCGGUGGAGUUAAAAGAUUUCCAGGCAAUCUCUUUAUGCAAUGUUAUUUACAAAGUGGUGACGAAGCGCAUUGUGAACCGCUUCAGACCAUUCCUGGAUGAUCUUAUUGGCAUUGAACAUAGCGCUUUCAUCCUAGGAAGG
RNAcentral lists this ribosomal RNA (306 nucleotides) under Triticum aestivum (bread wheat). Its description in RNAcentral is "partial small subunit ribosomal RNA". Lineage: Eukaryota; Viridiplantae; Streptophyta; Magnoliopsida; Poales; Poaceae. The record is from RNAcentral.